GAUGAAGAACGUAGCGAAAUGCGAUACUUGGUGUGAAUUGCAGAAUCCCGUGAACCAUCGAGUCUUUGAACGCAAGUUGCGCCUCAAGCCAUUAGGUUGAGGGCACGUCUGCCUGGGCGUCACAUAUCGUUGCCUGAUGCCAGAUUCCUCGUGAUGGGUGACUGUGCAGGGCGAAUGAUGGCUUCCCGUGAGCAUUGUUGCCUCAUGGUUGGUUGAAAAUUGAGUCCUUGGUAGGGAGCGCCGUGAUAGAUGGUGGUUGAGUGACGAACGAGACCCAAUCAUGUGAGACCCCUACCGAAUUUGGCCUUCAUGACCCACAUGCGUCUUUGGAACGCUCAUGACGAGACCUCAGGUCAGGCGGGGCUACCCGCUGAGUUUAAGCAUAUCAAUAAGCGGAGGA
This 400-nucleotide unclassified non-coding RNA is filed under the name soil metagenome. RNAcentral's name for it is "partial contains 5.8S ribosomal RNA, internal transcribed spacer 2, and large subunit ribosomal RNA". The stretch from base 1 to 122 matches the Rfam family "5.8S ribosomal RNA", at positions 35 to 154 of the family's 154-position model. The record is from RNAcentral.